CCUACGGGAGGCAGCAGUAGGGAAUAUUGCUCAAUGGGGGAAACCCUGAAGCAGCAACGCCGCGUGGAGGAUGAAGGUUUUCGGAUUGUAAACUCCUUUUGUUAGAGAAGAUAAUGAUGGUAUCGAACGAAUAAGCGCCGGCUAACCCCGGGCUAGCAGCCGCGGUAAUACGGAGGGUACAAGCGUUACUCGGAAUCACUGGGCGUAAAGAGCGCGUAGGGGGGCUAGCAAGUCAGAUGUGAAAUCCUCGGGCUUAACCAUAGAACUGCAUUUGAAACGGUUAGUCUUGAGUAUGGGAGAGGUAGGUAGAAUUCUUGGUGUAGCGGUGAAAUGCGUAGAGAUCAGGAGGAAUACUGGUGGCGAAGGCGGCCUGCUGGACCAAAACUGACGCUGAGGCGCGAAAGCGUGGGGAGCAAACAGGAUUAGAUACCCGUGUAGUC
This 440-nucleotide ribosomal RNA is filed under the name uncultured bacterium. RNAcentral describes it as "partial 16S ribosomal RNA". It matches the Rfam family "Bacterial small subunit ribosomal RNA", at positions 338 to 795 of the family's 1533-position model. The record is from RNAcentral.